Long non-coding RNA from Erpetoichthys calabaricus (reedfish), 3257 nucleotides. RefSeq lists it as uncharacterized. Lineage: Eukaryota; Metazoa; Chordata; Cladistia; Polypteriformes; Polypteridae. The record is from RefSeq and is a predicted model, not a curated record. The transcript is spliced from 6 exons.
CUGUGUGUCUUUGUGUGUUUGUCUCUGUAUGUUGCACACUGCUGUUUGCUGGUCAACCCACACCCGUAGAUCCGAUCUUGUGUGUAAACUUCACUCGCAAGCUUGUGUCUGUGGGUCUGUGUCGACAUGGCAGCAUCACCGCUGAGGAGGAGUAGUGUGAAAGGGGUGGGGAGCGGGUGGACGAAAGAUCCGCCCCGUCAGGAAGAAUCAUCAGUAAUUUGCAUAGCCUAAGUGUCUCCCUGCACUAGCAAAUGUGAAAACCAUUUCAACCAGAAGGUACAGUCAGUAACUAUACGGUUAGUAGUAUCAGGUUCUGCAUAGGAUAUUUUUAAUUAUUAAAUAAUUUUAAAAAUAGACCUGGAUUAGCAGAAUGUAAUUCCUACCAAGCUAGAAAGCCUCCAUUUUGCCAAAAAUUGAAUUUGUGUCCUAGUUAAGCUUUUCAGUAAAGAGUUUAAGCAACCAGGAAGCACCGCAUUGUCCUGUUUUCUGAAGAGACCAUGACCUGCAAGCUUAACAUUAUUUCAUUGCUGAUACAGCAUGUUGUUGCAUCCUGAUUUAUGAAAUAUCCACAAAUCAGUGUUUGUUUGUGUGUGCUAGUUUUAUUUUUAUACUGGUGGCAAACCAUCCAUCAUUUAUUUAUGUGUUCACUGGGAAAUAAUAAAAAAAACAUGAUCUGAUGUUCUCCUUCCCAGGACAACUGGAACUUUCUUUAAAGUGGAUGCUCAGUUUCCCAGGGGCAUGCUUUUUCACAGAAAAAUGAUGACAGAUGAAUUCGACUAUCUUGGCCAUGCUUUAUAUGAAGAGCCACAAGAAAAUUACCCAACAUACUGAUUAAGACUCUGGCUGCCGGUGUCACUUUCCAAGUGCCUGUAUAUUCACUUUUGAAUCACUAAUGGAGCAAGAAUUUUUGAAACUUGAGACAGAGACAUGCAACACACACUUCAGCAGGAAGGGGAAGUUUGGACUGGGGCACCUUAAUUCAUCACAUAAAGAUCGACAUACCCCAUCUUUACAGUAUCUUCACUUACUGGUCCACCUGCCACUGUUUCCAGGUUCCGAUCAUUCUUUUCAAGUAAAGGCUUAAUCAGUAAGUUUCAUCCUAUUGUCGCCAUUUCGUAAUUCCUGUAAGUAAUAUGUUAAACAAAUAUAACUGGUAAGUGCUUACAUCUCAAGAGAAAAUGUUUGUAACUACUUUUUAUAAAACAAUUUGAUUUAGUUUUCCUUGCUGUAGUCAGAAGUAAAAGGCAAACAAAAAAAGUUUGUGUUCGGGGCUGCUUGUGGCCAUUGUCCGUAGUGCUGAAAUUUCACAUACACAACAGUCUGUUCUCACUCUUUCAAAAAUGAACAUUCUGUUAGACAACAGAAGUUGAAGGACACAAUUUGCUGAUGUUUCUCAGAGUAAGGCAUUAACUCAAUGUCCGAGCUCAAUAUUAUAACCCUGAACUUCUAACUUGUAAUAUUCCAGUUAUGCUCAGUACUGCUCAUUUUACUUCCAGCCUGUGAUUAGGGUGGUAUUGUUUCAGAUCAGGAAUUAUGGCAGUCCAGUCCCUUACUUACACUUUUAAGGUUGAUUAUGAAUCUUUUGCUUUAGAUUUAUUAUUAUUUUUACUAUUAUUAUUAUUUUCAGAGCCCCUUCAUUCAUUACAUAAAGGCGACAUACCCCACCUUUACCGUAUCUUCACUGUUCUGUCCACCUGUUGUUGUUUAUUUCAUUUUAGUACUUUUUCAAAAUAUUUUUUUGUAAUUGGAUGCUUAAUAUAAAAAAAUCAAUCACUUCAGAUAAUUCAAUAUGACUUAAUGUACUAUUUUAUGUAGUCAGGGAAGUGCUGUGCAAGCAUAUAUUUGCGCAAGAUAAAAAUGAAUAUGGAUUAUUUUCACACUGAAAAAAUAAAAAGUCAGUGGCACUCAGUUUUGUCUGUAUAGCCUUCACAUUGAUCACCUUAUUAAUGUUAUACAGACAAAAAUAUUGCGUCUCAAUCCAUUUUUUUAUUGUAUAUGUAGUGCAUUCUAUCCUUGGUAGCUGUUCAGGCUUUUGAGAAGAUAAAGUAAUGAACAAUCACUAAGAAUGUGUCUGAUUUGAAUCCAAAGAAUGUCACUAUACAUAACUUAAUAACCCUGAAUGGUGGUUUCACCAUUUAAUUGUGCAAGAAACACCAACUCAGAAACUUUCUUUCAAAUUGGUCUUACAGUCUGGAAAGAUUUUUUCACUUGGUUUUUGUAUUGCAUAUUUACUUUUAGCUGAUGAUAAUUUUAUCUUAAUAAAUUACAUGCUCCCAUUUAUUGGUCUGGUGAAUUGUGCUGUAUUUGGUUUUGUGUAUAUUUUAGCAUAUUUUCAACAAAUUAGCCUCCCUUUUUAGAUUUAAUGUCCUCUGCGUUUUCUCUUCUCUUUGUUCUUAGCUUUAUUAUAAUUUAUUUCACUGGUGCCAUUAUUCUUAUAAGACUGGGCUACAUUGAAGUGCAUUAUGAAGUUGUAUAAUAUGACAUCUACAAAAUCAGCAACUGUUUUUGUAAGUGACACCCUACAGCCGAUGUCAUAUUUCAUGAUUUUUAGUCAGGAAGGAUGUCAACCUUGAAGGCAGGAGUCAUGUCACAUUACAUGACUUUUAGUCAAAGAGGAUGUCAAGCUUGAUGACAGCAGUCAUGUCACAUUACAUGAGUUUUCCAGUGAUUUUCAGUCACAAACAUCCAUUACUUUGUCUUAGCAAGUCUGAGGCUCUUCCCGUGACCACCAGUCAUAUAGUCUGAUAUGCCCAGAGACUCUGUGAGUUUUCCUGACAAAAGUGAUUUUGUCUUAAAUCAUAGGAAUGAGCUUGUGUGUAUGCACCAACGUGGAAUAAGGAACGUGGGUAUUUUGGACAUAUAGAAGAGAAGCUUGUCUAUCUGAUGUUUUAUGUUUUACAUACCACAACAGAAUGGAAAAAAGAAUAAAGGACAAACAUUUCACUAAAAUUUGUCAUACCUGGAAAUCAUUCAUACAACACCAGCUCUGUCAGGCAACAUGUCAUUGGCUAUUAGAAAAAACGGUGAGCUUAUGAUACUUUGGAAAUGUGAAACUGUGCUGGAAAGUUGUCACAGAGUCAUCUCCUACAAUUUCUAGUCGUGAAAAUUGACAUACUCGGGCAACAAGACCAGCAAAGGCAGUCGUCAAGUUUGACAUUCCCCUGCUCCGGCUAGAAGUUGUGUAAUGUGACGCUGACUUAUGAUUUCACAUUAGAUACUCUCAUGAGAGUAAUCAAUCUAAACGCCUACAAAUCUAU